AAGGACCGGCCCCCGAUGCUGGCCUCUUCCUUGUUGCGAACCACCGAAUCUCGACGUCUGUCGGCCGCAUCCUUGGAGGUGUCCCUGCAAUACCGACAAAAAUGUUAAAGACCGGACCAAGAGCCGAAUGAAAAGAAAGACCGGGGGAUCGGACGAUACCUAUUCGGGGGACCAGAAUCAAGCCGGCAUCAUAGAGAGCUUGUUCGGUAACAAGCUUUCUCUGCUUCAGGACCGACAUGUCUUUCAGUCGGUGGAAGUCCUCCCGGUCGUCCGCCUCCACCCGACUGUUGUCGUUGGCUUCGGUUCGGGGCACACCCCAGCGGGAAGGGAAGCCCCAAGGAGAUGAGGAAGAAACAAAAAAGAAUUGGUUCUUCCACCCAUGAAUGGAUGAUGGAAGACCGAUGAUGAAGGCAAGACCCUUUCGGGGGUUGAAGAGCCACCACCCUCGGGCUUUAGGGUGGGGUCGGAGCACAAAGAAUGCCCGGAAGAGUGAAACGCGAGGGUUGGUCGGCAAGAGCUGACACAACAGCGCGAAGGAGAUGAUGAGACGGACGGAGUUCGGCGCCAGUUGCGCCGGACAGAGUCUGUAAUAAUCUAAUAAAUUCCGGACGAACUCCGG
This 619-nucleotide long non-coding RNA is filed under the name Elaeis guineensis (African oil palm). Its description in RNAcentral is "long non-coding RNA (EGUI_LNC074110)". The record is from RNAcentral. Lineage: Eukaryota; Viridiplantae; Streptophyta; Magnoliopsida; Arecales; Arecaceae.